RNAcentral lists this long non-coding RNA (359 nucleotides) under Gossypium raimondii (Peruvian cotton). Its description in RNAcentral is "long non-coding RNA (GRAI_LNC003449)". Lineage: Eukaryota; Viridiplantae; Streptophyta; Magnoliopsida; Malvales; Malvaceae. The record is from RNAcentral.
AAAACUUUUACUCCUUCCCACUUUCCCCCCAAAACUUUUACUCCCCUCCCCUCCCAACCCCCCAAUCUACCCAAAAUUCAUUUCCCACCAAAAUUUUACUCUCCCAUUUAUUUUUUCUCAAAAUUUUACUCCCAAAAACCCUCAAAACCUUUUAUUUUCUCCCAAAAUUUUUACUCCCUCCCACUUUUCCCCUAAAACUUUUAUUCCCUUCCCAUCCCACCUCCCAUCUAUCCCAAACCCUCCCCCUCCAAUUUUUUUUUAAUAUUUUCCCUCCAAAAUUUUACUCCCCCCUAUUUACUUUCCCUCAAAUUUUUAUUCCCCAAAACUUUUUAUUUUUCCCCUAAACUUUUACUUCUCAC